Stegastes partitus (bicolor damselfish) is the source of this 7465-nucleotide long non-coding RNA. RefSeq lists it as uncharacterized. The record is from RefSeq and is a predicted model, not a curated record. The transcript is spliced from 2 exons. NCBI's taxonomy places the organism in Eukaryota, Metazoa, Chordata, Actinopteri, Pomacentridae.
UUCAAAAUAAAAGCCACGAGACAACACAAAUACAAGACAAAAAACUAAAUAAAACCUAACACCUGGUACGAGACAUGACAACUUGCAAGUACAGACUAGCGAUUACAGACUUGUGAGAACGCAAGUACGGACUUGCGUACUUGAGUAUUGAGACACGGCUUAUACUAUGUUACAAGAGCACAGAGCGCUAGGAUGGAGCUGGAGUAGCUGACGGACCGUGGAAACUGCAGGCCUGAGAAUACACAGAGAGCAACAGAGGGUCGAGCCAGCAGGACGUGGGUGUGGGGCAUUGGAGGGGGAACAUGCGGCAAUACCCCUCCUCUCAGAUAAGUGAUCCUUUUGAUUAGAUUUUUUUUUAUUUUACCCUCCUGCAUGCACUCCUGGCUGCUUUAGAACUUAGUGUAUCCGAGCGUCUGAGUAUUGACGGCGACUCCCCCCCCGACUCAGAACGUGUGAGAGCCGGACCGGGAGCAAACCAGAUUGUGACAAGGCUGAGACUCCACCAGUAUCUGGACAUCUGACUCCUCAGAUUAAUAUUUUAUUCUUUUUUAAAUUGUAAUAAAUUCUGUUGAACGUUUUAGUCUUUUAUUUUAUUACACUGCUCACUCCUGGAUCUGAAUCUUGUUUUCAAAUGGGUCCUAGUCCGUCACUAGGUGGCGUUGUCUUUUGUCUCCAUUUUUAAAGUUUUUUGUUUUUUUAAAUUUGCUUUCACCCACCACUUGGCCACACUAGGAGAAUUGAAUGUUAUGUUGUUAUCCUGGUCUCAACUCUGAAUGUAUCUCUUUCACAUUUUAUGAGUGUUCAAGCCAUCUUUCAGACCAAAUGAGUGAAGAGCACAGAAAUAUGAUUUGUAGGUUUCAAAUAGAAGCAAGAUCCUUAAUUAUCCUUAUAGAUUAAGGGUACAUCAAGUGGCUGACUUAUUAAAUCAAGAAUUUAACCUAUUUAUUCUCAGCAGUGUGUUGCAUCAUGAUAGCAGCAAAAACAAGAACAAAUCUGGAGUUAAUAAAAAUCAAAAUGCAACAGCAGUAGCGUAGUUAAACUAGACUUAACAUUUUGAUAGUUUACUGUAGAGAAAAUGUGGGGAGUCCAUAUUGACAUCCAGUGCUGAAUGAUUAAUAGAAUGUUAGAGCAUUAUUUACAGCACCAUAAUACAUAUAUCUAUUUGAUAAAGCAUGAUGUAUCAGCAAUAGUUAUUUGUAAUCUUAUAGCUAUACAAAUAAAGGAGUCACACUAAUUUAGGCUAAAGUCACUAUGCUCUACCCUCAGGGAAAAUUUGGUUUUGAAAUGUUUAGUAGGCUGAUUAUUGAUAUUAUGGUCUACACAGUCCACACUCUCUCCAGAGAACCCGGAGAGAACCCACGCUGCACAGGGAGAACAUGGAGACUCCAAGCAGAAAGAUCCCUUCUUGCUGCAAAGCAACAGUGCUAACCAAUGCGCCACCUUGCAGCCUUCCUUUGUUAAUAUGAUUAUGAAUUAUAUUACAAUAAUACAACAUCAGCAGUCAUCACAUAUUCACAGUUUUUGCUCUAUUACAACAUUUCUCAGAAGAGGUGUCAACAUGCAGGAUAAAAAUGUCAGCUUGGUGCCCUUUCUGAUUUGAGGCGCCUCAUGAUGGUGGUGGUUGCUAAUGAUCAAGGAAAAAAGUCUUACAGUUACAGAGGACCAUUUUAUCCUCAAUUAGAAAUCAGAGUGCAUUUGCGAAAUGAAAGCAGGCAUUUAUUCAAGAGCAUAAGAAGUCAGAUCAAAGGCAAGUAAGAAAGCAGCAAAACAUGAUAAACACAACAACUAGUCAACCUUAUAAUCCCUGAGAGAUCUUUGAAAAUACAAUUAAACACUGGGAACAAACCAACAUGUCAAUCAAAGCCUUGUGUCUGAAAUACAGACAAAAAAAGAAUGUGCAUGUGAAAAUGUGCUUUGUAAUAACUCACUGAAGACAGAAAAGAACCAACAUAUUUAUAAAUGUGCUUUGGUUUUACUGGAUAACCCCUGUCCUUUUUUUUCUAGCAAAAGUGCUGCUGUUUCAGUGUUGUGUUUUCUUUGAAACAGAGACUCUUUUUAUUUCUGUACCUAGUUUGAAGCAUCAUUUAAUAUUUCCCUGUUUGUCCACUAUUCCUAAUAUCUACCUAAUCCCAGUCAAGGGCAAAACAAGUUGGUGAAAACAGCCACUUAAGACAAAUGACAGGGACUCACGACAUAAGCAUUUGACUCAUUGGAUUAAUAAAAUCAUUAAACUGUAUAAAAACCCUUGCCAUUCAACUCGGGUCCCAACAGUGUUUCACCUUGUCUGUUUUGAAGCGAGGUGCUCUCUGUCUUGUUGAGAAAUGAAAGGGUGUUAGUCUCGGCUCUUGCAACUCUCGACGAGCCCUUCCGCCGGCCUGCAUGUCUCCAUUGCUCAACGACAUUGAUUACCUGAUGCAAGCAAAAGCCAAGUUUGCCGCUCUGAUCAUUAAUCCUACUGCAACGCCGCUCUUAAACAACAGCCCCCUACCCUCACCCCCUCACUUCUUUCCCUUUCCUCCCUAUUUCUGGCAUUUAUUGAAGUAACAGGGGCACAGACUAAAUGAGGCCUGAGUGAUGGAGGGUUUGCCAAGCAGAAUUUUUCUCAUGCACAGGGUGGAGCCUGCCAUCAUCUGACAAGAGCUUUGAAUUUUCAUAAUACUAUAUGGCAUGGAGAGAAAAUUCCCAUUGAAAUCAAUAUUUCAUGGCAGGGGUGAAUCCCUAGUGGAGCAGCUCUGUAAAUUGAUUUGAACAGAAAUAUGUUUAGAUUUUCAUUUUACAAACUGAUGGUGUUGCUGACACAGGUGAGGACCUGUGUUUCUCCAACUUCUAAGAAUAACACUUAAGGAUGCGCUAAACAACCAAUUUAAGACUGAAAACAUUCUACACACAUUUAUCAAGCUAUUUACUCCAAUUUGUCGCAAAAAGAAUGCUUGUAGGCAAAAUGUAGGCCUAACCUUUAGGAACAUUUUUCAAGUGAUCACAUGAUUAAUUGCAUUCAUUCUCUUAGCAGAAAUAGCCUAUCGUGUUGUUGCAGCCCGUUGAGGAGUGCAGCUGCAUUGUAUAUGAUGUUAACGUUUUAUUUUUUCCAUGUGUUUGCCAGGAUACCUCUUUUUCUAUACGUUACACAUAAACUAACAAAUAAACUCAAUAAAGAAAAAAAAAAAAGAAAGAAAGUGACAUCAGGACAAUCCCAUUUCUACCAUAUUAACUAUUCUUUUCAUAAAAUAAUUCUGUUUUUCUCAGUGAUUUUAAUGGUGUAAUAACCAUAAUAUUCAAAUUAACAAAUGGAAGGUCAAAUUAACAAUAAUACACAGUAUUUUAAAUGUAUAAAUAGGAAUGAAAUGACAGACACUUGGCUGAAAUCUGAAUAGAAUUAAACCUGAGCAGGAAAGAAGACCUGCUGCUUGUAGACAAGCUACAUCAGAGAAAUGGUAUAAUAGCAAUAGCACUCUGAUGCAAACUGAUAAAUGCAGACAAGAGAACUGCAUAGAAAGUGACUGCAAACAAAAUCAGUGCUUGUGUUGUUUUCACACUGAUAAAUGUUCUGCUGUGAAACCGUAUGUCUUGGCAUUCAUGUGAAUGUUAUUUUGACAACCAUGUCCCCAAAAAAUUACAACCCCACAAAACUAAACUGCAUUCUCAGUUACACGUUGAAGAAAAUGUAAUUUUGUUUGCAAAUAAACAUAUUUUAUCCCUUGUAAUGUUGUCAAAAGGCAGCCAGUUUGACCACGUGACCACGUGAGGAAUAUGGAGGCAUAAGUCAACAACCAAACUCUCCCCAAGACGACCAGGGUUCUCAGCCUGAGAGGGACCAUUACUCCCACACUUCAGUUUUGUUUUCAUUCACUUUCUGUUUGGGUGUAGGCACCAAAACAAUGUGGUUUGGUUAAGGAAAAGCCCAAACUAUGGUUGACACAUUCAGUAGGAUAAUGGUAGGCUUGGUUGAACUUAGGCACCAAAGAUAUGUUAUUUGUGAUACAUCAUAAACAAUCCAGCAACUGUUUCCCUCAAAAUAUAACUGAGAUUGUAGUCUACUUGUAUUAGAACAUAUUUUUGUGGAGGCAGAAUUGACUUAGACACAUAGCACAUACCUAAACAUGACAACACAGGGCUCCAGACUCACUUUUUCACUGAUGGCACCAGUGCAACCAACUUUCUUAUUUGGUCGCACCUCCCACCAGUCACAAGCAAAACAUGUGUCUCGCUGAACAUUUUCUUAUUGAUAGACAGUAAAAUUUACUGAUUCUCCCUAAAUGCCCCACAUUGCGGACUGCAGUGUGCUCAGGCAGGUACGCAACCAAAAAUUACUUUAAAGAGAAUAAACAAGGGCAUUCUAAAUGUCACAUUUGUCCAAGAUGAGAAUGAGUUAUCAGUGCCACGUACAGAGUGCGAGUAGGGCUUCAUGCAAAGCCCGAGGCCACUAUUGUUAUCCUGGUGCGCCUUUUCUUAUUAUUUCGACUCUUCCGUACAAAAUUUCAGUCGGCUACUCCUCCCACAGAUUUGAGAGCACCCACACAAAUUAUGCAUCAAAACGUGUUCGUUCUCGAUCGGGAAUAGUGUGCUUGCAUACAGAUUUACAAAAAUUGCAUUUUUCGCGAUGCAAUUCGCAAAAACAUCGUAAAAAUCUCCCAUUGAAAAUGAAUGGGACGGACGAAAAAAAUCACACAAAAUUACACUGCUUUUCAAACCUCCACUGCUCAGGCAUACUUUCACCUAGAGAAUCCAUUUCAACUUUAAAAUGUUGACGCGCCCUUCCCCUGUUUCAAAGACUUUCGACUUUUUUCAUAUCAUCACUCGUUUCUUCGUGACAACCUCUCAAGUUUUGAAACUUUUUCACCCCUUUUCAGCCUUUACAAUGGGUGUGUAUGUGGUCCUUUAGAGUGAGUGAUGACAUCACUAGAGUGGGAGCUCAGAAAAAUCUCACACAGUAAACUUUUUUUUAACUUGUCGCCCUGGCCACAAUUUUUAUGCCACAGACAUCAUUUUUACAUCAAAACAUAGGAAAAUUUGUCCUCCCGCUCACAAUGUUACUUUGAAAGCCAACAGAAUUAAGUUUGGGGGAGUUUUGGAGCCUUGUUCCUCCACAAGUCUCUCUUCCUUCCCCAUCUGCCCCCAUUCAAAGACGGCUACUGAUUUUUCUCAAGGACCACAAAUUUACACAUUACUUCUCAAGUGAUUGUGCGCUCAUUUUGUACUCUAAGAAAAUAAAAAAAUAUAUCUCUGUAUUGCCUUGGCAAGGUCUUGGCUUUCUGAAAAUGUGCUCGGCUUUUCUCUCCGACACAUAGUUUUGAAGAAAAUGGCGGUUGUUUGAGGUCUUCUCCUUCUGGUCACUUCGACUGAUUUGAAAAUUAAACCAAGUAUCUGUUGCAGCUGUGUGCUUUGUUGCCCGGCAACGCUCUAACCCUACUCCCCCCCCCCCCCGCUCCCUCCAUACAGCAACAGCCCUUCACACAGCUGAGGCUUAGGUUAUUCAAAAUUUUUAGUGGGUUUGGUAAUUACAAAAUAGUCAUUUAAAGGUCCCGGCAGAGUCCCGUGGCACUACCAAAUUUUCUGCAAGGAAAUUUUCUACUUUUAUUUACACCCGCCCUUUUCUAUGAGCGAAAAUGAGCGGAAAAAAUGUAGGUGUGCUUCACUUUUCACGAGAAGACCACAUUUCUAAGUGUAAAUGCUACAGUACACCGAAGUAAUACAAGUACCGCUUUCCACCACUGUGGUGAACACAGCAGCUUCCUGUGCCGGUUGCAGCGACACAAAUACAGCUUAAUGAUCAUAAUGCACUCACACCAGUGAGACGGCUUGAAAUUUUAACUCGCACACUCUCAAAAAAAGGUUGCAAAUGCGACCAUUUUGGUCACAACUCGGAGCCUUGCUCCCUCAGCUGGACAACACACCAUGCCAGACCACAAAAACUGCUCAGGAACACAAACACAUCCCUAAGCCAGAUUCCAAACUCCCCAGAUCCCAAUCCAAUCAAGCAUCCAUGGAAUGUCACAGAUCAAACCUGACCCAUGGAGGCCUCACCCCGCAACACACAGGGCUUAAAGGAUGCAAUGCCAACAUCCAUGAGUCAGACCCCAUAAGUCCUGUGUCCAUGCCCCAGCUGGUCAGAGCUAUGUUGGGGAGAGGAGACCUCCACGUUAGUAGGUGCUCACAAGCAGACCCAGUCCUUCCAGGGGUCCACUGCAGAUGGACCACUAAAAAAGGCAUAAGAAAUAGAGACAGGUGAACAGAAGAUAUUGUCACUCAAGUUAAAAAAAAAAAUUAAAAAAAAACUUGCUUUGGCCAUUGAGUGUACAUAUUAUUUUACAGUGCUACCACAGACUAAUGGCACUGACUGGAUUAUUUUGUGUUGCCUAUCGUGUACAGAAAAUUUGAGGUUGUAAAUGAAAGUAAGUGAAGCUGUGUGGCUGAUGUGCCUUUUUGUUUGCAUCUGAGAAGCGACAUCCAGUGGUUCUGAAUGUCAUACACAGAGCCUUUAAAGUUCAAAGGUUUUUUACCUUUAUAUAUUUUUUUAAUAAAACUUAACUUGUGCAGUUCCAGUUCCAGCAGGCACCGAAGUCCACGUAACUUACAUCUUGGUGUCGCUGAAGAUCUAGAGGACUAAAAUCCAAGUUGUAUUAUUUAAGUUUACAUUUAAAGUUGAAACAGGUUCUGGGCUCUGGCAUACUUUUGUUUUAAAAAAAGGAAAUCAAAACAGAGAACCAUUAUUUUUAGAAUUGCGUCUUUACCCUGGGGAAGUCACCGCCAACACAUCCAUCAACACAGUAGCCCUGCUGCAUGUCCUCAAAACCACAAUCAAAUAUGAGUUCUGUGACACCCACACAUCAAGUGGCGGACACACUGACUGCGAAGAAUUUUCACACCAGGUAAUUAUCUGCUGUUUUUCGUUGCCUUUGGGAGGAAAGUGGGCAAGGCCGGCUGAGGAGGAGAAGGAGUGGUUGCAGGGGGUGAGCUCUCCCUUACACCCUUAGAUGUGAGGGUGAAAAUUACACAGCCUCCUUGGUGGGCCUGGAGAGCCACCAGACCUCAUCAAGCAGCAGGUGAGCACUUUUUUGCAUCCUUUCCUCAAUGUCGUCCCAUCGAGUAUAAAUAGAACAAUAUGGCAGGACAAGUCACAUCUCAUUUGGUGUGUUGUGUUUCAGAGCACCUCCGCUGAGACGCUGGGCAGUGAGGGCAGCUGGCAGAAAGCAGAGCUCCACUAGUGGACAGAGGCCAGGCUUGGAAUUUACAGUCCCCGCUGAGAAACCAUUCUUUGAGCCCUUCAGUCGUACCCUGGAAAACCCCCACGGACGAAGGCACACACGGGCACCGGAUCUUCUCGCACCACCCUCGGAACCCUCCUUCACGGACCGCGGCACAGAAGACCCCCACUCCUCCCUCACCACGACUGGCAUCCCUGCACCAGAUCCCGUCACCUGGCUACUCCCCAUUUUUUCCCUUUUUGAAAAUAAAAACUUUAACUUAA